RNAcentral lists this transfer RNA (65 nucleotides) under Hydromanicus melli. RNAcentral describes it as "tRNA-His". Lineage: Eukaryota; Metazoa; Arthropoda; Insecta; Trichoptera; Hydropsychidae. The record is from RNAcentral.
AUUUAAAUAAUUUAAUUAAAAAUUUUGAUUUGUGGAAUCAACUAUGUAAAAAUUUACUUUAAAUU